Molecule: small nuclear RNA, 104 nt
Filed under: Myotis brandtii (Brandt's bat)
Lineage: Eukaryota; Metazoa; Chordata; Mammalia; Chiroptera; Vespertilionidae
Source: RNAcentral
GUGCUUGCUUCGGCAGCACAUCUACUAAAAUUGGAAUGAUACAGAGAUUUGCAUGGCCCCUGCACAAAGAUGACAGCAAAAAAAGAAAGAAAGAAAGAAAGAAA